AGAACGAACGCUGGCGGCAUGCCUAACACAUGCAAGUCGAACGAGACCUUCGGGUCUAGUGGCGCACGGGUGCGUAACGCGUGGGAACCUGCCCUUAGGUUCGGAAUAACAGUUGGAAACGACUGCUAAUACCGGAUAAUGUCUUCGGACCAAAGAUUUAUCGCCUUUGGAUGGGCCCGCGUUGGAUUAGCUAGUUGGUGGGGUAAAGCCUACCAAGGCGACGAUCCAUAGCUGGUCUGAGAGGAUGAUCAGCCACACUGGGACUGAGACACGGCCCAGACUCCUACGGGAGGCAGCAGUGGGGAAUAUUGGACAAUGGGCGAAAGCCUGAUCCAGCAAUGCCGCGUGAGUGAUGAAGGCCUUAGGGUUGUAAAGCUCUUUUACUGGGGAUGAUAAUGACAGUACCCAGAGAAUAAGCUCCGGCUAACUCCGUGCCAGCAGCCGC
RNAcentral lists this ribosomal RNA (445 nucleotides) under uncultured soil bacterium. RNAcentral describes it as "bacterial SSU rRNA". It matches the Rfam family "Bacterial small subunit ribosomal RNA", at positions 26 to 518 of the family's 1533-position model. The record is from RNAcentral.